UAAAAUUUGCCUGGAGCUCUCCAGGCAGCACCAAGCACAUGAGCUGCCUUCUUUCCUCAUGCCCAGCCUGUGUUUCCCUUACGCCUUGCCAUGGGGAUUUUUUUGUUUGUUUAAUAUCUUAUCCUGACAAAAGUGAAGCACCUCCACAAUAGGCUCCAAAUAAAUAAAUAAAACAAACAGGCACAUUCUCUUCCAGCCCCCCUCUGGCCAGGGAGGUGACAGUUUUUCAUGGCACUGCACAGGAGUGAUUCCCAGCAGUCAGUGAUGGAGCAGGAACAUUGGCUUUCUCUGGGCUCCAGUACUUUUCCAUCAGCAUUUGAGUCUUGCUGGAUUUUAAUGAUGGGUUACUGUAUUUGUGGGGUUCCCAGAUGAAGGGAGGAGUGAUGAAUCUGACUCUAUGUUCUCAGAAGGCUAAUUUAUUAUUGUAUUAUACUAUAUUAUAUUAAAGAAUACUAAACUAUACUAUACUAAAGAAUACAGAAAGGAUACAUACAGAAGGCUAAAAAGAUAAUAAUGAAACUUGUGACUCUCUCCAGAGCCCUGACACAGCUUGACCCUGACUGGCCAAUGAGUCAAAACAAUUCACAGCAGAAACCAAUUAAACAAUCAUCUGUUAGUAAACAAUCUCCAACCACAUUGCAAAUGAGCAAAACACAGGAGAAGCAAAUGAGAUAAGAAUUGUUUUCCUUUUUCUUCUGAGGCUUCUCAGCUUCCCAGGAGAAGAAUCCUGGGCAAAGGGAUUUUUCCAGAUAAUAUGACUGCCACAAUGGGUCAUGCUGCACCCAGUUGAAAUGGGUUUGAUACUGGUGUCUGUGUGGCCUUAAUCAGAUAAAUCACUAUAAGAAAAUUACAUUCAGCUUCUGGCCAGCCUAGGGCUGGUUUUGGGGGAGUUGCCAGGAUGGCUCAUCCAGAGACAGAUACAGGAGGUGGAGGAAGCAGCUCUUGGAGAGCCAGAAUUGGGUGGGGAGUCACCAGCUGUGCUGUGGUGAGGACACCCCCACCUGAUCCCAGCACUGGGAGAGGGGGAGGCUGUGGGGAAGGAGGAGGGACAUGCCCAGGGUAGGGAAAACUCCAAGGAUGGGUCCUGGGACUGUGUUUAACACCAGCCCCAGCACAAGCUGCCUGUGCCAAAGAAAUGACAACUGGCAGGGAGCUGAGGAGCAUUGCCAGUGUGGAGGAAGACAGAACAGCAUCCCAGGAAGAUCCCCAAGACAGCAGGGGCUGGGAGACACCCUUUGUGUUGAGAAGAUGCCAAAAAGGGAACUUCUUAUUCCUGUAGCCCCUGCUGCCAAAGCUCAGCCACACAAACCCAAUAAAAGACUCAAGAGUGUCCAAUUGCUUCAAGAGUUGAUGGUUUAAUAUCAGAAGCCCAACACUGACUGACUCCCUAAAAGCAGGGAGCUAAUUCAGUGGGCUAAAGGAAACAAGGACAGAAUCACAGAAUCAUUCAGAGUGGAAAAGACCUCCAAAAUUAUCCAGUCUCGCUAUCAACUCAGAGCCACCAAACUCACCCCUGAACCACGUCCCCAAGUGCCACAUUCAGACACCUCUUGAACACUUCCAGAGCUGGCAGCUCCACCACCCCCUGGGCAACUCAUUCCAAUGCCUGACCACUCUUCCUGGGAAAAACUUUUUUUCUUAUAUCUAAUCUGAACUUCACUGGACACAACUUGAAGCCAUUUCCUCCCAUUCUUUUGCUUGACAAUAAUUUUUUAUGUUUAAGAAAUGCCAUUCAUGUAAAGUCUCCUGGCAAGGAAGUCCCCAGAAAUAAAUCUAUAAACACUCA
This is a long non-coding RNA of Passer domesticus (house sparrow), 1786 nucleotides long. RefSeq lists it as uncharacterized. Lineage: Eukaryota; Metazoa; Chordata; Aves; Passeriformes; Passeridae. The record is from RefSeq and is a predicted model, not a curated record. The transcript is spliced from 3 exons.